GAGCUUUUGAUUCUCUGAUUGAUUUCAGACCUGUUGAGACCUCUAGGUUUCAAGAUCUAAGGUUUGUCUCCUCUGCGCUGACACUUACUUAAUAUUUGUAUCAAUCUUCGUGAUUGAUGUCAGGUUUAUUUCAUAUUUGUAUCAUUCUAUUUGAUGUUGGAUUGUUUGACUCGAAAAAGUCUUCUUACUUGUUGGGUUUUUCUUCAUAGGCAGUUGGUUCAUUCACCAUGUUGAAAAGUGAAUGCUCACACAUGACUCUUUGUUUUACUAUUUGGUUUCGUGUUUGUUAGCGGGUUCUUUGGAUAGUAUUGUCGUGUGUGUUAUUGCUUUAAUUAUUUUAAAAAGCGACUUUUGU
RNAcentral lists this long non-coding RNA (355 nucleotides) under Lathyrus oleraceus (garden pea). RNAcentral describes it as "Pisum sativum (pea) long non-coding RNA (PSAT_LNC034229)". Lineage: Eukaryota; Viridiplantae; Streptophyta; Magnoliopsida; Fabales; Fabaceae. The record is from RNAcentral.